Molecule: ribosomal RNA, 427 nt
Filed under: uncultured Luteibacter sp.
Lineage: Bacteria; Pseudomonadati; Pseudomonadota; Gammaproteobacteria; Lysobacterales; Rhodanobacteraceae
Description: bacterial SSU rRNA
Rfam family: Bacterial small subunit ribosomal RNA
Source: RNAcentral
UGGGGAAUAUUGGACAAUGGGCGCAAGCCUGAUCCAGCAAUGCCGCGUGUGUGAAGAAGGCCUUCGGGUUGUAAAGCACUUUUAUCGGGAACGAAAUCGGCGAGGUCAAUACCCUUGUCGUCUGACGGUACCCGAGGAAUAAGCACCGGCUAACUCCGUGCCAGCAGCCGCGGUAAUACGGAGGGUGCAAGCGUUAAUCGGAAUUACUGGGCGUAAAGCGUGCGUAGGCGGUUUGUUAAGUCUGCUGUGAAAGCCCCGGGCUCAACCUGGGAAUGGCAGUGGAUACUGGCAAGCUUGAGUGUGUCAGAGGAUGGCGGAAUUCCCGGUGUAGCGGUGAAAUGCGUAGAGAUCGGGAGGAACAUCAGUGGCGAAGGCGGCCAUCUGGGACAACACUGACGCUGAGGCACGAAAGCGUGGGGAGCAAACA